ACAGAGCAUGAUGUCAAAUGCCUGUAGUCCCCGCUUCUGGAUGGACUGAGGCUGGUGGAUUGAUUGCAUUCAGGAGUUCUGAACUGCAGUAGGGCUAACGCUGAUUGUGUUUUUUAAAACUAAAUUUGGCAUCAAUAUGGUGAACAUCUGGGAGUGGAAGGCCACCAGGACACCUAAGGAAGAGAGAACCAGCCCAGGUCAGAAAAGCAGAGAAGGUCAAAGCCUCUAUGCCAGUCAGUACUGGGAUGGGGCCCCUGAGUGGUCUUCUGCUCUUCUAGCCUGAAAGAAAUAGGACUAGUCUCAA
RNAcentral lists this signal recognition particle RNA (304 nucleotides) under Vombatus ursinus (common wombat). Its description in RNAcentral is "Metazoan signal recognition particle RNA (ENSVURG00010024536.1)". It matches the Rfam family "Metazoan signal recognition particle RNA". Rfam says of the family: The signal recognition particle (SRP) is a universally conserved ribonucleoprotein. It is involved in the co-translational targeting of proteins to membranes. The record is from Rfam by way of RNAcentral. Lineage: Eukaryota; Metazoa; Chordata; Mammalia; Diprotodontia; Vombatidae.